This is an RNA transcript of Raphanus sativus (radish), 844 nucleotides long. RefSeq lists it as uncharacterized. The transcript has 6 exons. The record is from RefSeq and is a predicted model, not a curated record. Lineage: Eukaryota; Viridiplantae; Streptophyta; Magnoliopsida; Brassicales; Brassicaceae.
UUUGUAAAAUAUCUGAAUCAGAAACUAAUAACUAAACCUAAAAUCGAAAACGCUCUGAUUUGUUUGUUCAAAACCUCUCUCCAGUUACCGGAAAUCUCGUGUUGGGCGAAAGAAUCUGUCAUCUGAGAGAAGAAGCUAUAACAAUGGCGAAGAGAGAGAUCAGUAGCACUCUUAGAAAUCUUAAGUUUAUGCAAAGGUCUGCCUUAAAAGAGGAGGACAAGAAGAAGAAGAUUGAUGAGCCUAAUGCGAAUUUGACUCCUUCCCCCAGUUGUGUUAAAAAGAAGUGUGUGGUCAUAACAGACUGGGAUCCUCAGCCAGGAACAUUGUUAGGACGCUUGUCAUUUCACUCUUUCAACCCCUCUAUCCAGAAACUGAAUGAAGAGGCCAUAAGCGGUCAAAAAACAGAUGCUUCUCCCACAUGCUCUAGCAGUAAUGGAGGGAGGAUGUCCUUUAGUGAAUCCAAGGUUGAGACCAGCGCCGAAACAAAUGGUGACUUGAAAAGGAAACAGUCUGAGGAACAAAACCAUCCAACCAAGUCCCCACGGAGCAAUGACAAACCAUCACCAAGCAACAAACAAGGCUAUGGUUUCAAGAAACCCAAGAGCAGGAAAAGGCGGCCUGGAGCGUUUUGAAGCCCACCAAAACCCUCAAACCAAAAAAUUAGCUUAACUGCAGUCUGUCUACCUAGUUGAAAUUUACUUCACACAGGAAAGAUGAGAUGCAUUCCAUUCAUUGUAAACAAGCAGAUUCUACAAUACCAUUGGCAAACAAAAAAAAUGAAGCAAUAGAGAGCAGAAGAAGUAAAAACUUUUCAAACGAUGAUUAUAUGAUCAUCUCUCGUUGA